RNAcentral lists this ribosomal RNA (497 nucleotides) under uncultured bacterium. RNAcentral describes it as "partial 16S ribosomal RNA". It matches the Rfam family "Bacterial small subunit ribosomal RNA", at positions 28 to 507 of the family's 1533-position model. The record is from RNAcentral.
GAUGAACGCUGGCGGCGUGCCUAAUACAUGCAAGUCGAGCGAACAGACGAGGAGCUUGCUCCUCUGACGUUAGCGGCGGACGGGUGAGUAACACGUGGAUAACCUACCUAUAAGACUGGGAUAACUUCGGGAAACCGGAGCUAAUGCCGGAUAAUAUAUUGAACCGCAUGGUUCAAUAGUGAAAGACGGUUUUGCUGUCACUUAUAGAUGGAUCCGCGCCGCAUUAGCUAGUUGGUAAGGUAACGGCUUACCAAGGCAACGAUGCGUAGCCGACCUGAGAGGGUGAUCGGCCACACUGGAACUGAGACACGGUCCAGACUCCUACGGGAGGCAGCAGUAGGGAAUCUUCCGCAAUGGGCGAAAGCUUGACGGAGCAACGCCGCGUGAGUGAUGAAGGUCUUCGGAUCGUAAAACUCUGUUAUUAGGAAAGAACAAAUGUGUAAGUAACUAUGCACGUCUUGACGGUACCUAAUCAGAAAGCCACGGCUAACUACGUG